Molecule: ribosomal RNA, 1371 nt
Filed under: uncultured bacterium
Lineage: Bacteria
Description: bacterial SSU rRNA
Rfam family: Bacterial small subunit ribosomal RNA
Source: RNAcentral
GAUGAACGCUGGCGGCGUGCCUAAUACAUGCAAGUCGAGCGAACGGACGAGAAGCUUGCUUCUCUGAUGUUAGCGGCGGACGGGUGAGUAACACGUGGAUAACCUACCUAUAAGACUGGGAUAACUUCGGGAACCGGAGCUAAUACCGGAUAAUAUUUUGAACCGCAUGGUUCAAAAGUGAAAGACGGUCUUGCUGUCACUUAUAGAUGGAUCCGCGCUGCAUUAGCUAGUUGGUAAGGUAACGGCUUACCAAGGCAACGAUGCAUAGCCGACCUGAGAGGGUGAUCGGCCACACUGGAACUGAGACACGGUCCAGACUCCUACGGGAGGCAGCAGUAGGGAAUCUUCCGCAAUGGGCGAAAGCCUGACGGAGCAACGCCGCGUGAGUGAUGAAGGUCUUCGGAUCGUAAAACUCUGUUAUUAGGGAAGAACAUAUGUGUAAGUAACUGUGCACAUCUUGACGGUACCUAAUCAGAAAGCCACGGCUAACUACGUGCCAGCAGCCGCGGUAAUACGUAGGUGGCAAGCGUUAUCCGGAAUUAUUGGGCGUAAAGCGCGCGUAGGCGGUUUUUUAAGUCCGAUGUGAAAGCCCACGGCUCAACCGUGGAGGGUCAUUGGAAACUGGAAAACUUGAGUGCAGAAGAGGAAAGUGGAAUUCCAUGUGUAGCGGUGAAAUGCGCAGAGAUAUGGAGGAACACCAGUGGCGAAGGCGACUUUCUGGUCUGUAACUGACGCUGAUGUGCGAAAGCGUGGGGAUCAAACAGGAUUAGAUACCCUGGUAGUCCACGCCGUAAACGAUGAGUGCUAAGUGUUAGGGGGUUUCCGCCCCUUAGUGCUGCAGCUAACGCAUUAAGCACUCCGCCUGGGGAGUACGACCGCAAGGUUGAAACUCAAAGGAAUUGACGGGGACCCGCACAAGCGGUGGAGCAUGUGGUUUAAUUCGAAGCAACGCGAAGAACCUUACCAAAUCUUGACAUCCUUUGACAACUCUAGAGAUAGAGCCUUCCCCUUCGGGGGACAAAGUGACAGGUGGUGCAUGGUUGUCGUCAGCUCGUGUCGUGAGAUGUUGGGUUAAGUCCCGCAACGAGCGCAACCCUUAAGCUUAGUUGCCAUCAUUAAGUUGGGCACUCUGAGUUGACUGCCGGUGACAAACCGGAGGAAGGUGGGGAUGACGUCAAAUCAUCAUGCCCCUUAUGAUUUGGGCUACACACGUGCUACAAUGGACAAUACAAAGGGCAGCGAAACCGCGAGGUCAAGCAAAUCCCAUAAAGUUGUUCUCAGUUCGGAUUGUAGUCUGCAACUCGACUACAUGAAGCUGGAAUCGCUAGUAAUCGUAGAUCAGCAUGCUACGGUGAAUACGUUCCCGGGUCU